RNAcentral lists this ribosomal RNA (1707 nucleotides) under Paenibacillus sp. PDC88. RNAcentral's name for it is "bacterial LSU rRNA". It matches the Rfam family "Bacterial large subunit ribosomal RNA", at positions 1217 to 2925 of the family's 2925-position model. Lineage: Bacteria; Bacillati; Bacillota; Bacilli; Caryophanales; Paenibacillaceae. The record is from RNAcentral.
AUGUAUCAGGGGUAGGGGAGCGUUGUAUGCAGCAGUGAAGGUGGACCGGAAGGACUGCUGGAGCGCAUACAAGUGAGAAUGCCGGUAUGAGUAACGAAAAGAUCAGUGAGAAUCUGAUCCGCCGAAAACCUAAGGGUUCCUGAGGAAGGCUCGUCCGCUCAGGGUAAGUCGGGACCUAAGGCGAGGCCGAUAGGCGUAGUCGAAGGACAACAGGUCGAAAUUCCUGUACCACCGUAAAUCGUUACGAGCGAUGGGGUGACGCAGUAGGGUAGUGACGCAGACUGAUGGAUGUCUGUCCAAGCAGUGAGGCUGGUAUGUAGGCAAAUCCGCAUACUAUUAAGGCUGGGCUGUGAUGGGGAGUGAAAAUUACAGUAGCGAAGGUCAUGAUCUCACACUGCCAAGAAAAGCCUCUAGCCAGAUGAAGGUGCCCGUACCGUAAACCGACACAGGUAGGUGAGAAGAGAAUUCUAAGGCGCGCGGAAGAACUCUCGUUAAGGAACUCGGCAAAAUGACCCCGUAACUUCGGGAGAAGGGGUGCCCCGGUAGUGUGAAUAGCACGAGGGGGCCGCAGUGAAAAGGCCCAAGCGACUGUUUAGCAAAAACACAGGUCUGUGCGAAGCCGCAAGGCGAAGUAUACGGGCUGACGCCUGCCCGGUGCUGGAAGGUUAAGGGGAGCGGUUAGGGGUUAAACCCGAAGCUGUGAACCGAAGCCCCAGUAAACGGCGGCCGUAACUAUAACGGUCCUAAGGUAGCGAAAUUCCUUGUCAGGUAAAUUCUGACCCGCACGAAUGGCGUAACGACUUGGGCGCUGUCUCAACGAGAGAUCCGGUGAAAUUUUAAUACCUGUGAAGAUGCAGGUUACCCGCGACAAGACGGAAAGACCCCAUGGAGCUUUACUGCAGCUUGAUAUUGGAUUUGGGUACGAUCUGUACAGGAUAGGUGGGAGCCUAGGAAACAGGAGCGCCAGCUUCUGUGGAGGCAACGUUGGGAUACCACCCUGAUCGUAUCUAGGUUCUAACUUGGUACCGUAAUCCGGUGCGAGGACAGUGUCAGGUGGGCAGUUUGACUGGGGCGGUCGCCUCCUAAAGAGUAACGGAGGCGCCCAAAGGUUCCCUCAGAAUGGUUGGAAAUCAUUCGAAGAGUGUAAAGGCACAAGGGAGCUUGACUGCGAGACCUACAAGUCGAGCAGGGACGAAAGUCGGGCUUAGUGAUCCGGUGGUACCGCAUGGAAGGGCCAUCGCUCAACGGAUAAAAGCUACCCUGGGGAUAACAGGCUUAUCUCCCCCAAGAGUCCACAUCGACGGGGAGGUUUGGCACCUCGAUGUCGGCUCAUCGCAUCCUGGGGCUGAAGUAGGUCCCAAGGGUUGGGCUGUUCGCCCAUUAAAGCGGUACGCGAGCUGGGUUCAGAACGUCGUGAGACAGUUCGGUCCCUAUCUGUCGUGGGCGUAGGAAAUUUGAGAGGAGCUGUCCUUAGUACGAGAGGACCGGGAUGGACGUACCGCUGGUGUACCAGUUGUUCCGCCAGGAGCACCGCUGGGUAGCUAUGUACGGACGGGAUAAGCGCUGAAAGCAUCUAAGCGUGAAGCCCCCCUCAAGAUGAGAUUUCCCAACUAGUAAGACCCCUUGAAGACGACGAGGUAGAUAGGCUGGGGGUGGAAGUGCAGCAAUGCAUGGAGCUGACCAGUACUAAUCGGUCGAGGGCUUAUC